This is a long non-coding RNA of Thamnophis elegans (Western terrestrial garter snake), 1703 nucleotides long. RefSeq lists it as uncharacterized. NCBI's taxonomy places the organism in Eukaryota, Metazoa, Chordata, Lepidosauria, Squamata, Natricidae. The record is from RefSeq and is a predicted model, not a curated record. The transcript has 3 exons.
UCUCCGAACUACUCAAAAUUUCCGCUACCAGUUCUCUAGAACUGGCCAGAACCUGCUGAAUACAACCUCUGCUCCUACCUGGAAAGGUUUAAAUUCAUCUCUGUAGUUAAUGUUGUAAAACUGAGAAUCUAUUCCUAUUUUUAUAGUAUUCAUGACAUUUGAUCAUUCUUAAUCUCAUUCUAAGGAGAAAGGAAUAUUGGGAUGCACCCCAUAACUUCAUGUUUUCUAAAAUCCAGAAAUAGGCCUAGAGGUCCAAUUUUAAUAUUUAAAGGGUGCGGAAAUAAGUGAAGUAUAAAUGAGGAAUCCUGUAUUCCUGCUAUGUAACAGUCUUCUCAACAGAUUCCCUCCCAUGCUUUUUAUGCAGUAAAAAUUAUUACUGGCAUUAUUACUGCUGAACAUUUUUUUUUAGAUAGCUUCCUUUAUGGCGUUUUGAUUUCUAUCAUUUCUGUUCUACUUAUGGACCUCCCUGAGGAAAGAGAGAUUUCCUUGCCUUUUGAGGUAAGAUUCUCAGACAUGACCAUUCUCCAAGACACUAUUAUUGCAUCUUUAUAUUGCCUCUCCAUAUUGCAUCCACAUUGCAUCUCAUCCCUCAAUUUCCAUGGCCUCAAACGUCCCAAAUCCCCUGGUCUCUAAAAUCAAGGUUAAGCACGCCUUUUCUGUUUCUGUUUCUGAAGAUACCCCAAGCUGGAUACUGAAUGGCUUGUACAAAACCGCUUCUUUCUAUUGUACUUUAUCGCUGAUUUUUAUUACAUUUUUUAAAGCUUGAGGGAUGCUUUCCUAUCAGAAGGUGUGGGGGAGUAGAAGAAGAGAAGAAACAUCUUCCCUAAACACUUCAAACUUUUUAAUGCUGCCAUUCUGUUUGCAAUGGAUACGUCACCUGGCUUUCAGUUUAACAUUAACAACAUAGAUUGCAAAACAAUAUCAAGUAAAUAAAAUGGAGCAACAAACUCUCUUGUCUGUUUAGCUUAGUGGUGAAACCUCCCCAGUGAGAUUGAGAUACUUCAGCAGCCACCCUCCCACUCAAGCACUGGAUGUUUCUUUCACUCUGGAACAUGAGAUACUAUGAUCUUUUCCUCGGAGUAGCUAUUGGCUGUACCGUACAUGAGAUCAAUCACUCAAUCUGCACCACAAAAGCUCUUGCCAUGAAAAAGCAGUUGCCCGAAUGGUAGGAUGAAAGUCAUAGGGAGAUGCGAACUACCAAGAUUUUACCAAGUCCUCCACAAUCAACAUAACCCAUGAAGAGAUUUGAUGAACCAUAUAUUUUUCCUCAAACUCCUGGGCAAAAUCUUUGAUCAACUUCUUUUCCUGACGUAUUUUCAUUUUUUGUUGCCAAGAAGUAUGUAAAGGCUUAUCCUGGAUCAUAUGGGAAAACCUGGAGUAAUGGGGAAAGCUAAAAAUAAGUGCUAGAGUUUCAGCACUAGAUGGUCUCACCUUACAAGACAGCUAUAGUUUGCCUUAAUAAAGCCUUACUGAAUAACUAAUAUCAAAUUGGUGCAAUACACUGAGCCAUAUACUGCAACUAAACCAAACAAUCUUAAUAACAUUUAGCAUAUUGUCGGAAGCAGAUCUAGGAUAAGAGUCCUGCAUACUCUUACUUGGCAAUGAGUUCCAAGGAAACAAAAUGCUUUUGCAUAUAAAAAACAUUACCCUAACAAAUAAGAAUAUUAAAAGCACACUAUGAUUUUAAUUAGGGUGUGACACCA